CCCUUCCAUUAAAGCUCUUCAUAAAACAGUAAUACAAGUUACCCAAAAGCUUUAAUGGAAGGGUGUGAGCAUUACAUAUGUUUAAAACUGAAUUACUGAUUUAUACCAAAAAAUAAAAAAUUGUUGCAUUCAAUUAAUUCCAUUUGGAUUUUAACACAACGGUACCAUUCGUUGUUUAAUUUCAGGUUUUUUUAAUGUAUAAAAUCUAAAUAACAAAAUUAACUAAAUUUCAGUUCAUAAUUUA
This 244-nucleotide unclassified non-coding RNA is filed under the name Hevea brasiliensis (rubber tree). Lineage: Eukaryota; Viridiplantae; Streptophyta; Magnoliopsida; Malpighiales; Euphorbiaceae. The record is from RNAcentral.